UACGUAGGGUGCGAGCGUUAAUCGGAAUUACUGGGCGUAAAGCGUGCGCAGGCGGUUCUCCAAGUCCGUUGUGAAAGCCCCGGGCUCAACCUGGGAAUGGCAGUGGAAACUAGGGGACUGGAAUCUGGCAGAGGGGGGUGGAAUGCCGCGUGUAGCAGUGAAAUGCGUAGAGAUGCGGAGGAACACCGAUGGCGCAGGCAGCCCCCUGGGCUAGCACUGACGCUCAGGCACGAAAGCGUGGGGAGCAAACAGG
This 253-nucleotide ribosomal RNA is filed under the name uncultured bacterium. RNAcentral describes it as "partial 16S ribosomal RNA". It matches the Rfam family "Bacterial small subunit ribosomal RNA", at positions 524 to 776 of the family's 1533-position model. The record is from RNAcentral.